Molecule: ribosomal RNA, 506 nt
Filed under: uncultured bacterium
Lineage: Bacteria
Description: partial 16S ribosomal RNA
Rfam family: Bacterial small subunit ribosomal RNA
Source: RNAcentral
AGUGAACGCUGGCGGUAGGCCUAACACAUGCAAGUCGAACGGCAGCACAGGAGAGCUUGCUCUCUGGGUGGCGAGUGGCGGACGGGUGAGGAAUACAUCGGAAUCUACUUUUUCGUGGGGGAUAACGUAGGGAAACUUACGCUAAUACCGCAUACGACCUACGGGUGAAAGCAGGGGAUCUUCGGACCUUGCGCGAUUGAAUGAGCCGAUGUCGGAUUAGCUAGUUGGGGGGGUAAAGGCCCACCAAGGCGACGAUCCGUAGCUGGUCUGAGAGGAUGAUCAGCCACACUGGAACUGAGACACGGUCCAGACUCCUACGGGAGGCAGCAGUGGGGAAUAUUGGACAAUGGGCGCAAGCCUGAUCCAGCCAUACCGCGUGGGUGAAGAAGGCCUUCGGGUUGUAAAGCCCUUUUGUUGGGAAAGAAAUCCAGCUGGUUAAUACCCGGUUGGGAUGACGGUACCCAAAGAAUAAGCACCGGCUAACUUCAUGCCAGCAGCCGCCGUAA